AUGUGCACAGAAAACCUACACCAUUUUUUAAUUCCGUUUUCCAUGAACUUUGUGAAUUGCAUUUGUAUUCCAGGAAGUGGUGACAGCUUGUAUUUGAUUCUGGGAGAUGUGCACACCAGGGAAAGCCACAGGGAAGAAGAAAAGCUGAAAAGUAACAGAGAAGGCACAGGCACGAGAGUGAGGCCACCGUGGGAAGUGCAGUCACUUAGAACGACUGGGGUGAACAGGACGGGAUCAGCUUCGAGAAGCCAAGAGCUGCUGCUCGACCGUGCAGGACGCAGGUUUUUUACUUUUAAAAAUUUUCACUCCCACAUAAAAGAGAGAGCAUGUGGUACUCACCUUUCUGUUUGCAUCUUACAGAAAACUCAUCUUAGGAGAGUAGCAUGACUGUUAAUACAAAAGCCAAUAAAAAUAAUACUAAAUUUAUAUGUAAGUCUCA
Molecule: long non-coding RNA, 439 nt
Filed under: Oryctolagus cuniculus (rabbit)
Lineage: Eukaryota; Metazoa; Chordata; Mammalia; Lagomorpha; Leporidae
Description: lncRNA (ENSOCUG00000032479.1)
Source: RNAcentral